RNAcentral lists this ribosomal RNA (502 nucleotides) under uncultured bacterium. RNAcentral's name for it is "bacterial SSU rRNA". It matches the Rfam family "Bacterial small subunit ribosomal RNA", at positions 28 to 526 of the family's 1533-position model. The record is from RNAcentral.
GAUGAACGCUGGCGGCGUGCUUAACACAUGCAAGUCGAACGGGACUAUUCCAGAUUGAGGCUUCGGCGGAUUGACGGUUUAGUUUAGUGGCGGACGGGUGAGUAACGCGUGAGCAACCUGCCCUUCAGAGGGGGACAACAGCUGGAAACGGCUGCUAAUACCGCAUAUUGCAACUGAAUCGCAUGAUUUGGUUGUGAAAGAUUUAUCGCUGAAGGAUGGGCUCGCGUCUGAUUAGCUAGUUGGUGGGGUAAUGGCCCACCAAGGCGACGAUCAGUAGCCGGACUGAGAGGUUGACCGGCCACAUUGGGACUGAGAUACGGCCCAGACUCCUACGGGAGGCAGCAGUGGGGAAUAUUGGGCAAUGGGCGAAAGCCUGACCCAGCAACGCCGCGUGAAGGAAGAAGGCUUUCGGGUUGUAAACUUCUUUGACCAGGGAAGAAACAAAUGACGGUACCUGGAAAACAAGCCACGGCUAACUACGUGCCAGCCGCCGCCGUAACAC